RNAcentral lists this ribosomal RNA (253 nucleotides) under uncultured bacterium. RNAcentral describes it as "partial 16S ribosomal RNA". It matches the Rfam family "Bacterial small subunit ribosomal RNA", at positions 524 to 776 of the family's 1533-position model. The record is from RNAcentral.
UACGUAAGGUGCGAGCGUUAAUCGGAAUUACGGGGCGUAAAGCGUGCGCAGGCGGUUCGUUGUGUCUGAUGUGAAAGCCCCGGGCUCAACCUGGGAAUGGCAUUGGAAACUGGCGAGCUAGAGUGUGGCAGAGGGGGGUGGAAUUCCGCGUGUAGCAGUGAAAUGCGUAGAGAUGCGGAGGAACACCGAUGGCGAAGGCAGCCCCCUGAGCUAGCACUGACGCUCAGGCACGAAAGCGUGAAAAGCAAACAGG